AGGACGAACGCUGGCGGCGUGCUUAACACAUGCAAGUCGAGCGAGGACUUUCGGGUUCUAGCGGCGAACGGGUGAGUAACACGUGGGUAACCUGCCCCGAGCUUCGGAAUAACCUCGGGAAACCGGGGCUAAUGCCGGAUAUGACAUCGCAGGGCAUCUUGUGGUGUGGAAAGAUUUAUCGGCUCGGGAUGGGCCCGCGGCCUAUCAGCUUUGUUGGUGGGGUAGUGGCCUACCAAGGCGACGACGGGU
RNAcentral lists this ribosomal RNA (249 nucleotides) under uncultured bacterium. RNAcentral's name for it is "partial small subunit ribosomal RNA". It matches the Rfam family "Bacterial small subunit ribosomal RNA", at positions 26 to 284 of the family's 1533-position model. The record is from RNAcentral.